UGCAAUUAGCUUGUUAUAUCCUUGUAAUUUUUGGGUUAUAUAGUUUGUGUUUGGUUCUUUGAUAUUUGUAGCUCUGGGGUUAAGGUUUAGAAAAGUUUGUACUCUAUAGAUAUUUUCUAUGUAUUUUUGGGUUGUAUAGUUGUAAACUUUUUUAUCUUGGUUCAGGCUAUCUCGGUAUGUGGUGAUUUGUGGGGGUAUGGAC
This 202-nucleotide long non-coding RNA is filed under the name Capsicum annuum. RNAcentral's name for it is "long non-coding RNA (CANN_LNC010957)". Lineage: Eukaryota; Viridiplantae; Streptophyta; Magnoliopsida; Solanales; Solanaceae. The record is from RNAcentral.